UACGGAGGAUGCGAGCGUUAUCCGGAUUUAUUGGGUUUAAAGGGUGCGUAGGCGGAUCGUUAAGUCAGUGGUCAAAUUGAGGGGCUCAACCCCUUCCCGCCAUUGAAACUGGCGAUCUUGAGUGGAAGAGAAGUAUGCGGAAUGCGUGGUGUAGCGGUGAAAUGCAUAGAUGUCACGCAGAACCCCGAUUGCGAAGGCAGCAUGCCGGCUUCCGACUGACGCUGAGGCACGAAAGCGUGGGGAUCGAACAGG
RNAcentral lists this ribosomal RNA (252 nucleotides) under uncultured bacterium. RNAcentral describes it as "partial 16S ribosomal RNA". It matches the Rfam family "Bacterial small subunit ribosomal RNA", at positions 524 to 776 of the family's 1533-position model. The record is from RNAcentral.